This 13169-nucleotide long non-coding RNA is filed under the name Hordeum vulgare. Its description in RNAcentral is "long non-coding RNA (HVUL_LNC005613)". Lineage: Eukaryota; Viridiplantae; Streptophyta; Magnoliopsida; Poales; Poaceae. The record is from RNAcentral.
CCUAUGUCAUUGUGAUUUCCUUUGGACAUCCAAACUAGCCAUCCUUGAAACAUGAAUCAAUAUAUGUCUCCCCUGUGUUGGUUGCCUGCCGUUUCCUUAAUUAUGUGUAAAUAAUUAGUUUGGUUGUUGAUUUAUUAGUACAGCCUAUCAGGUUUUCUUUGGAAAGUUAGACAACAAAGUGGGGUGUAAAAAAUAAUAAAGCUCAGACACGCAACUGUAAAGUACCUUACCCCACCCCACGGCUGUCACCUCCCCGUUGUCCAUCCCUUCCCAACUCUCCUCCUCCACUAGCUCUCGACGUAGGAAGCUCGCGACCCAGGCGCGAUCUUACCGGUGCUCCUUACCCAUCUCGAUGUUUAUCAGGCUAUCCUCUUGAGGCAGAGACGUGGCCGGCGGCGGUGCGGCAGAGCUAUCAGGCGCAAGAUGCCCCCGACAAAUCAGAGGUAAGAGAAACAUGUAUCCUUGUCGGUCUUGUACUGGAUCUGAAAUUCCUACAUUGUUAUCCAUCUAAAAUUUCCUCUAUUGUCAAAUAUACUAACAACAUAUACUUAUGUUAAGAAAUAUCUCUUAUUCGUUUCAUUAAUUCGAUCCCCAACCCAAUACCAUUCCUGUCGUGAGUGAUUUUAUCUUUUUCCCACAGUAAAACGUCCACUGGCUAUUAAUAAUUUCCUUUUCAGAAAAGACCACUUGCAAUUUUUGUAUCUUGUUCAUGUAGGAGCAAAGUAGAAAUUAUACUUGUGGCGUGUUCAUCAUAGUGUGCGUAUCCGUCAGUCACCCUGCCUAAGCCAGCUACUAUGUAGUGCACACUUUUACGAGAUAUGUUGGGUUACUGAAUUUUUCUUACGAAAUCAUUUCCAGGAAUUCUAUUAUUACUCACACAUUUUGCGUGGAACCAAUUUGGAAUAUGCAUGACGACAUGCUAAUUGCAUCAUAAAAAUAAAGAUUCUAACCUUAAGAAAUAUAUCGCAACAUAUAUUAGACAAGCUCGCCGUGCCCUAAACUUGUGGAUAGAUUGCAACAUAUAUGAGACAAGAUCGCCAAACCAAAUUGUUCAUGCUUGAAUUAACAAAAUAUUACAGUCCAUGAAUAUGAAGUCUAACGGACUGUCCGGUUGCUUAGACCUUGCAGAUUGACACGACUCAUGCAUAUAAGAGUUCAAACUGCGUCUUUGAUGCUUGGCCAGAAUACCACAUGAAAUUUCUAGAGCAUCAGCCAUCAUGCUUACUCCUUUUUCCUAACGAGUCAUUUUCUGUAUCUCUCAGGCAUGUGUCCAAUGUUCCACUCCAGUCCAAGUACAUAUACCAAUAUGUUCAUCCUGGAAUGAAGAACUCCGUCGUUUUGCUGUUAAAAAUUGAAAUAUCAUGCAUUAGCACAUAUAUGUAGAAUUGCACUAGCGGCAAUUAAAAUGGUAUAAGUCAGCGACUUACGAACCGGGUUUGAGACCCUCUUGAAUUUACUUCCCAUCCAAUUGCGCCGGUAGUGUAGCGCAUAUACCCCGUUGUCUGGCCUAAAAAAGCCAGAUAGAAUGUAAACACACGGAUCUAGGUACUCACGCUACAUCAAUGCUAGAACGUUUUUGGCUGUUGAAAUUACCCGGUGCAUAGGCCAACAUUUAGCCCUUUCGGGAAUACUGUAUUCCAUCUUGCCAUGUCGGGAGCCCAACCUUGAAGAAUGCUUGAAUACAACUUUGCAAUGCAACAUGAAGGCUCUCUGCAACUUUCCGGUGCCUGCUCUGGAUGACUUUGUCAGACUCAUCCCCGUUGUUCAUUGUUGGGUCAAGGACAAUUAUCCUCUUUUUUGGAAAAUCCGAUAUGUAGGUCGACCAUGUGAAGUUGAACUUCACACGGAGUAUGAACUAGAAAAGCAAUCAAUAGUAAGUGUGCAUUCAGAUAACACUUCUCAUACUCUAGAAUCGAUCUGGGAAUCAGGAUGCUCGAACUGGUCUUCCUCCUCUUCCUCUAGCUCAGUGGCGGAGCCACCGCCCAGCUACCCUGGGCAGUUGCCCAGGCUCAGCUUGCAAUCUCUUUCUUAAAAUAAUGGCAAGGAUGAAGAAAAUUCAGCUUUUUCAUGAGCAAAUCACAAAAUAGCUGCCGGCCAUUAGGAACCUUCAUAUGCUGCUCAGGCUAUCACAUUGAGCUGGCUCCGCCACUGCUCUAGCUCACUCAGAUCUGGUACGCCUUCUGUUCGGACACGUUGGGAACAGAAGCUGCACAUGAAGAUGGCAACAUCCCAAAUUUGAUGAAUCAACAUCGGAGAAAACGUAAGAAAUAACAAGAGGAUUUUGUGAUAGAGAAACCUGAACAGGUGAUCGGUGAAUGACUCCUCGUCGAGAUUCAUAGGUGAAUUGUGAAGAAACCUUGAGAUCCACGAGCGGGGACGGGGAGGGCUUGGUUCCUCCGCUCGAUGCAGCAACGCCUCGUGAGGGUAUUUGAAUUUUGAAUCGCGUCCGGCUUGGUGGAUGGGGCAGCAUGGUCACGAGGUAGUGAACGGGCGAGGUAGGCCAGGUACAAGCUAUGGAGGAGCAUAGGUAGUACACCAGAUACGAUGGGACUAAAUUUGUCCCGUAUGUGCUUGGGAAACUGAAAUAAGAAUCGGGUGGGUCCAAGUGGGAUAGCCUCGCGCUGAUCCACAAGCCAAAGCGACGGCGCCGAUUCCCGUUGCGCGCGUAACAAGUUAGAGAAAGCCAUAUUCGAAGCGGCUUCAACAGACCGCCCGUGCUUGCAUCCCACGCAAUCCUUCACCCACCAUUGAGGCGUACAAUGUAAUUUUUCCGGUCGAUUCACUAGCGAACUAGGUAGCAAUAUAAGUGCAGAUACAAAAAUUUGACGUCCGGAAGUAACUAGGAGAAACUGGACCGGGAAGAUAGAGCCGCCAUCACAUACAAGUCUUUUGUUACCCACCUUGCCCCGGGUUUCCCAGGUGUGGCCUGAAAUCAGGGUGUUAGGCCUCCGAAGACGUUGGGCCCGUUUCGGCCCAAUGGUUGUCGCUGGCUGGUCGGGUACUUGGGCUGUAACACUCUCUUUUCCUUGAAACUCAGCUUGUCCCCAACCAGGCGCGCAUGGAAAGUAAUGUUGCAGUUCCGGAUGAUCCUUCCAUGUAGCGAGUUCAUGCGGCUGACCAGUACACCAAACCAAGACUUGAGGCAAGGGUUGGCCACCACGCUGGAUGUGCAGGACUCCGGGAUAUCUUCAGGUACCGGGGUCGAUGCUGUUGUUGCUCGCAGUUGCAUGUGAACUUGCUCCGUUGGCGAAAUAGGUUGUCAGAGCUGCGAAACGUGGAACACCGGGUGGACGGUGCCGCCCUCCGACAUCUGGAGCUUGUACACGACGGCCCCACCCGACGCAACACCUUUUAGGGGCUGAAGUAGCGGAAGGCGAGCUUCUGGUUGCUCCUCGUGUCCGCCGAGUGUUGUACAUACGACUGCAGCUUGUGGAAGACUCUUGAUAACCCACAAGUAUAGGGGAUCGUAAUAGUUUUCGAGGGUAGAGUAUUCAACCCAAAAUUAUUGAUUCGACUCAAGGGGAGCCAAAGAAUAUUCUCGAGUAUUAGCAGCUGAGUUGUCAAUUCAACCACACCUGAAAGACUUAAUAUUUGCAGCAAAGUAUUUAAUAGCAAAAUAGUAUGGAAGUGACGGUAACGGUGACAAACGUGACAGUAGUAGUUUUGCAGUGAUUGUAACAAUAGCAAUGGAAAAGCAACUUAGCAAAGAUCAAUAUGUGGAAAGCUCGUAGGCAAUGGAUGAGUGAUGGAUAAUUAUGUCGGAUGAUAUUCAUCAUGCAACAGUCAUAACAUAGGGUGAUACAGAACUAGCUUCAAUUCAUCAAUGUAAUGUAGGCAUGUAUUCCAUAUAUAGUCAUACAUGCUUAUGGAAAAGAACUUGCAUGACAUCUUUUGUCCUACCCUCCCAUGACAGCGGGGUCCUAAUGAAACUAAGGGAUAUUAAGGCCCCCUUUUAAUAGAGAACCAGACCAAAGCAUUAGCACUUAGUGAAUACAUGAACUCCUCAAACUACGGUAAUCAUCGAAAAGAAUCGCAGUUAUUGUCACCCUAGGGGAUGCGGACCAUAACUCAUAAUAGGUAUCUACAACUUGCAAGAUAGGAUCUAGAACACAUAUAUAUUCAUGAAAACAUAACAGGUUCAGAUCUGAAAUCAUGGCACUCGGGCCCUAGUGACAAGCAUUAAGCAUAGCAAAGUCAUAACAACAUCAAUCUCAGAACAUAGUGGAUACUAGGGAUCAAACCCUAACAAAAUUAACUCGAUUACAUGAUAGAUCUCAUCCAACCCAUCACUGUCCAGCAAGCCUAUGAUGGAAUUACUCACGAACGACGGAGAGCAUCACGAAAUUGGUGAUGGAUGGUUGGUGAUGACGACGGCGUCGAUUUCCCCUUUCCGGAGCCCAAAUCACACUCCAGAUCUGCCCUCCCGAGGAAGAACAUGAGGUGGCGGCGGCUCCGUAUCGUAAAAUGUAAUGAACUCUUCUCUUUGAUUUUUUCCCUCCCGAAUAGGAAUAUAUAGGAGUGGAAACGAGGUCGGAGGAGCCACAGGGGCCCCACAAGCCAGGGGACGUGCCCGGGGGGGGGGCUGCACGCUUGUGGCCAGGUGGUGGCCCCUCUCUGGUUGAUUCUUUCGCCAAUAUUUUUUUAUUUAAUUCCAAAAGUAUUCUCCGUAAAUUUUCAGGUCAAUCCAAGAACUUUUAUUUCUGCACAAAACUAUCACCAAGGCAAUUCUGGUGGAAACAACGUCAGUCCGGGUUAGUUUCAUUCAAAUCAUACAAAUUAGAGUCCAAAACAAGGGCAAAAGAGUUUGGAAAAUUAGAUACGUUGGAGACGUAUCAAGGACCCAAUCAUCCAUCGCGAAGACGUGAUCGGAGCGACAUUUGUCGGAAGAGUCUUUCAUCUGUUGGCGAGCUCAUAGCAGGUGUUGGCGAAUGAGAGCGAUCAUCUGGGCACGGUCCUGCUAUUGGAAAUAUGCCCUAGAGGCAAUAUUAUAUUUCCUUGUUCAUGAUAAUUGUCUAUUGUUCAUGCUAUAAUUGUAUUAACCAGAAACAGUAAUACAUGUGUGAAUAAAUAGACCACAACAUGUCCCUAGUGAGCCUCUAGUUGGCUAGCUCGUUGAUCAAUUGAUGGUCAUGGUUUCCUGGACAUGGACAUUGGAUGUCAUUGAUAACGAGAUCACAUCAUUAGGAGAAUGAUGUGAUGGACAAGACCCAAUCCUAAGCGUAGCACAAGAUCGUGUAGUUCGUCUGCUAAAGCUUUUCUAAUGUCAAUUAUCAUUUCCUUAGACCAUGAGAUUGUGCAACUCCAGGAUACCGUAGGAGUGCUUUGGGUGUAUAAAACGUCACAACGUAACUGGGUGAUUAUAAAGGUGCACUACAUGUAUCUCCAAAAGUGUAUUUUGGGUUGUACGAAUCGACUAGGAUUUGUCGCUCCGUGUGACGAAGAGGUAUCUCUCGGCCCACUCGGCAAUACAUCAUCCUAUUGAGCUCAAUGUGACUAAGGACUUAGUCACAAGACCAUGUGUUACGGAACGAGUAAAGAGACUUGCCGGUAACAUGAAUGAACGAGGUAUAGGGAUACCGAUGUUCGAAUCUUUGGCAAGUAUCAUACCGAUAUACAAAGGGAAUUGUAUACGGGAUUGAGUGAAUCCUUGACAUCGUGGUUCAUACGAUGAGAUCAUCGUGGUACAUGUGGGAGCCAACAUGGAUAUCAUGACCCCGAUGUUGGUUAUUGGCCGGAGAGAUGUCUCGGUCAUGUCUGCUUGUUUUCCGAACCCGUAGAGUCUACACACUUAAGGUUCGGUAACGCUAGAGUUGUUAUGGGAUCAUAUAUGUGGUUACCAAAGGUUUUUCGAAGUCCCGAAUGAGAUCCCGACGUCACGAGGAGUUCCGGAAUGGUCCGGAGGUAAAGAUUUAUAUAUGGGAAGUGGAGUUUGUUCACCGAAAAUGUUUCGAGGAUCAUCGAUAUUGUACCGGGAUCACCGAAAGGGUUCUGGGGGUCCACCGGGAAGGGCCACCAUCCUCGAAGGGCCACGUGGGCCAAAAGUGGAAGGGAACCAGCCCCUAGAUGGGCUGGUGCGCCACCCACCAAGGCCCAAGGCGCACAAGGAGGCCAAAUCCUAGGCGUGGGGGGCUGCCUUGAGUGGCAAGCCAGCUCCUAGGGCGCCGCCCCUCCUCCAGCUAAGGGAUGCCCUGGUCGUCCUAUCUAACCCGAACCAAAGAAAGUCCCUUUCUAAUUUGUUGAUGUUGUGAAGAGAGCUCAGCGGUACGAUGAGAGGCGUGAUGGCAUACACCACCCGAGAGGCGAUGAUUGAUUUGACAAGGGUCGUCCGUCCAAUGGUGGUGAUAUUUUUCCCAUCCCAAGUGACAAGCUUGCUCGGCAGCCUUGUCUUCGAGCAUUGUCUUGAUCCGUAUGUAGAAUGGGGGGCCCAAAUAUUUCAUCGAGAAGGUGGCCCUAGACACCAAGACGCUAGUGAGAACAUGAUCCAAAUCAACAUUAGUGCACUGGAUGGGCACGACCGAGCUCUUGUGAAAGUUGAUGCAAAGACCCGUGACAUCACCAAAGCCCUUCAACAUGGUGGAGAGGUUAUCGAUGUCUCGCUUAAUGGGGGCCAUGAAAAUUGUUGUGUAAUCCACGUAUAAGGUAGUUCUCAUCAUGGUGCCCCAUCUCCGAGUCUCAAAAGCCCUUCCUAAAUGCCAAGUCAAGUAUUCGAUGAAGCCUAUCAAUUACGAGGACGAAGAGCAACAGAGAGAGUGGGUACCCUUAUUGAAAGCCAAGACCAUGCUUGAUGGGAGGCCCAGGCACACCAUUGAGCAUGAAACAUGAGGAUGAAAAGCAAGGUGCGCAUCAGAGAAAUCCAAUCACAGAAUUCACUAGAGAAACAAUUGGGUUGCAAAAGGUCGAGGAUGAAUUUCCAUUUGAAAAAUAAUGCACGCAUUCAAGGCAUGUCAAGAAGCAAAAAGGGAAGAAUGAUAUUCACACAAAUGGCCCAGCUCUAGUUGACUUAUUAUCUGAUUUAAACAUACUUAAUUACCAAAUUACAAGUAAUUACUCAUCAAUUAUGUAAUUUGCUCCCAGGUUACAAGUACUCAAUUUUCAUACUAAACAUGCUUAGUCACCACAUUACAAUUACUCAGUUGUUGGAUUACAAAAAGGGAUUGCUGGAUUUACAAGUACUUUGUUGUCAUAGUAAUUAACCAUGCAUUAUCAAUAGAUUAUAAAUAAGUUACCAAGAAAGUUAACAUGAUGGAUUGCCACAUUACACGAGUAAUGUGGCAACCCAACAUGUUCGCGUUUCAUCAAUUUGAAAAUAGCUUAGUUGCCAGAUUAAUGUACUUAUUUCUCAAAUAAAAAUUGAUUUUAGUUGAGAUACUUGUUUUUCUAGGACAUUUUGUUCCUGGGAUCAUAAUCACUUCUUGCUAAACUUUUUUUACAUGAAUGCAUGGUUUUUCAGUUUCAAAUACCCGUUUAGCACACUAGCGCACCUCUUCCAGGCCCCAUCGCAUGGUUGAUUAUACUAUUUGCAUCUAACACACUGCCACAUCUAUUAAUAUUGUAGCACCAAAAUUCAGUACAGUUCACACCACGUGACACAAUGUAGCAUCUGCGCCAGCAACACACCAUUUUUUCUUCUCAAAUAUCCACGAGUGUACGUAUCAUUUAUUAAUAUUGAAGAAACUCCAUGCAGAUGGAUUGUUUGGACUCACUUGAUCUUGAAUCACUUGAGACAUGCAAAUCAUACUGCAUGGGCAAGAUGACUGAAGGCCUCGUUUUCCAGUGUGAUGGAAUAAGAAAGUAACUUGUUGAAAGUAAUACAUUUCGAUGUGUGCAGUCCAAUGAGUGUUGAUGCACGCAGUGGAUAUCGUUAUGUUCUUACUUCACAGAUGAUUUGAGUAGAUCCUAGUAUAUUUACUUGAUGAAACACAAGUCUGAAUUAUUGAAAGGUUUAAGUAAUUUUAGAGUGAAGUUGAAGAUCGUGGUGACAAGACGAUAAAAAGGCUAUGAUAUGAUCAUAGAGGUGAAUAUGUGGGUUGCGAGUUUGGUACACAAUUAAGACAUUGUAGAAAUUGUUUCACAACUAAUGUGUAAUGCCCCAAGUGUAACAUUGACAUAUUGGGAACCUUGCCAUGUUUGGAUCCAUGAUGUCAUGUAUAUGGAGUUAUCAUUUCAUGUGGCUUAUUUCAUGCCUUCCCCUUUGCAUCAUGCCAUCCAUAGCAUUCAUGCCAUUCUUGUGUUGUUGUUGUGUUGAUCCAUAUGUGUGGUGUGAUGAGUGCAUGUGGUGUGUGUUGAGGUGGUGUAAAGCUUGGGUUUCAACUUUACUUAUUCUUCCAAAACUAGGUUUCAAAAACCCCUUUCUUCCUCAAUUUGUGUUCUUGUGGAAUUUACUUGGUUAAAUCCUGUUUUAAAAAUGUUGUUAAAUUUGUGUUUAAGAUUUGUGGCAGAUUGGGUAACUUCCUUUGAGUAAUGGGUUUUGGAUUAUUUUUCUAAUUAUUAAAACAGUAGGGUAAACCCUAUUUUCCAUUUGUAAUUUAUUUGCUUGAAAAUUCAGUUUUCCAUUUUAUUUUAUUAGGGCGUAAUUCCCUAAUGCCCAGAGCAUUUUUAUUUUGUUUUUCUUGUGCAUGUUUGGCUCUGUGCAUUUUUGUGUUGUGGUGUGGUUUUAAAUAAAGGAAAAACCCUUUUGAUUUAAUCUGUUAGGCCUAGGUGAGUCCAGGUGGGCUUCCUCCCUGCUCCACGUGGGCCUCCUCCUUUUUCCCAGCAGGCCCGCGCGUUUUUCCUUUCUUCCUCCUCCUGAUGCCGUUCUCCUCCCGUGCUGCUUUCCGUCAGUCUUCAAAGAGAGAGAGAGGUCGUGACGCCGUUGUCGUCCCAUCCACGGCCUUUAUAAGCAUCGACGUGCGUGCCCCGAUAGGGUUUUCCUAUUCCCCAUCGUCGCUGCCGCCAUCUUCCUCCUCCAUCUCUCUCCCUCCCCAAGGUAAGCCUCUGUAGAGAUUCAGAGAGAGUAGCGCAGCACAACAGGAAGAGCACCGCCGUCUCCUUCACGCUUCCCUCGUCUCCGGCACCGGCGAGGAUGUCUGGGAACACGCGGGGUCUCCCCGCGUUCCAUUACCGUCGUCGGUGAGGCCGGAGCACGUCUUCAACGACGCCCACGACCUCGUCUCCGACGAGCACCAGGCGAACCCGAAGCCCUGCAGCAACCUUUUUCUUCUCCCUCUUCCGUGAGAUCUGCUCCAUCGAGGGUCUCCAGGGUGAACGAUCCCCUUCCCCUCUUCUUCUCCCGCGUGUGCCUGUCGUCGUCCUCCCGUAGAUCGGACCGACUCACCGGAGAACACCCUGUGGCGGCAGCGCGUGUGUGUGCGGUAGGGCAUGGGAACUGCUCAAAGGGGCAACCUUCCCCUCUCUGGUAGACUCCGAUGCAGUAGCGUAGUGGUUGGAUGUUCCUUGUGUGAUGGGCAUGUCUCGGGUUCGAGCCCCAGUGCCCCUUCCUUUUUGUUUUUCCUGCGUUUUUACUCGUUAGUGGCAGUGCAGAGCAGAGUAGGUUCACCUGGUGGACCUCCCCUGUUAUGCUUGAAUCCGAAGCGUAGCAGAGUGGCAACAGGCUGGUUUUGGAGCCAGGAGGUCUUGGGCUAGAUCCCAAGCACCCCCCUUUUUAUUUUUAUUUUUUCCUUUUGCUGUUUUCAAGUAUGCUUGCGAUGUUCUUCUUGGGCAGCAAGUUAGUGGUUGUUAUCCUUUUUGUUAGAGGCUUAGAUAUAUUUUUCCUGCCUAGCAUCAAGUAUGGUGUGUGUGCCUGUAGUAUGUUGUGUAUGUGUGUGUGUAGUGUGGUGCAUGUGUGUGUGUGUUGACACACACACAUGAACAAGGUGUCAUGCUUGCUUUAGUAUCAAUGGGGUGUCCUCUUGAACACCAGAUGUGUGUGUGUGUAGAUGAGCUUGUGAGUAGUUGAUCUAGUGGAGUAGUGCAUGUGCUNUAGUGUAAGUGAGUGUAAGUGUAGUAAUGUUUGUGUGUGUAUAGGGGUGUAAAUGUGCACUUGUGUGUGUGCAAGUGCUUGUCAUGGUGUGUGUGCAUGUGGAUACACUUGUGCAAGAGGGCCAGCCCCUCAUUUGCACCUAGUCAUGUAUGUGUGUGUGAGUAUAUGUGCUUAUGAGUGUGAGAGCACAUAUAGUUAGGUGUAGGUGCUCCCCCCCCCCCCCCCGUGUGGUGGUGUGCUUAGGCACAAGUGCAUGAGGGCUACCCCUCAUGUUCACCAUUGGUGUUGUGAGUGUGAGCAUGUGCAAGUGUAGAUGAGGGUAGUGCACAUCACAUGUGAUAAUGCACUAUUGGAGCUCAUGUGAUUCUAGGUUGAUUUUCUUUUUUAACUUUGUGCCCACAUGCUAUAUGCAAGCACCCAAGUAUUAUAUAUGUUUUUGGGGUAGAAACUUCCCAGGAAUCCAUUGGUGGAAUCAGAUUUCACUUUGGAGCACUUCCUGGAAAUGCAUAUUUUUGUCUUGAUGCCAUGUUUAGGUCCUCAUAUUAAGUGGUGUGUUGAGCCUAUGAGGAUGAUUCCUUGAUGUGGCAGUAGUGGGUGAACCCCUCUACAGCAUGGUAGUUUUGUUUUGCUCAUAGGAGUAUGUAUGCAUCUAAUGUGAGCUGUCAAAGUUGACACUUGGCUGAAGAUUACAGAUUUGUGAAAACCCUGUGAUUUUCACUAAGUCUGGGAAUCUGCUGAUAUUUUCUUCCCUUGUUGAUUUGGUUGCAAAAGCUCAUGUGUUCGGAAUCAGCCGAGGCAAUCAAGUAGAGAGUUGGAGAUUUUGUGUUUGUCUAGCUCUCUAUUAAAUCUCAUGCUUUUUCACUUCCUGUAGAUAUCAUUUUGGAGGUUGACAAAAUGCUUCAGAGCAUAAGCAGCUGGUGAAAAUCUGAGAUUUUCACAAAGUCCCAGAAAUCUGUUAUUUUUGUCCAAGUUAGUGCCUGUAGAUCUUCUCAUGUGCGACCCCUUUGUAUUAUCUUCUUGCUCAGGCUUGUAGAGAUUUGGAAUGGCUUUUGCCACAUAUCUUGUUUGCCUCAUUUGGGUGGCUGUAGGUACUUUGAAUGUUGUAGACAAAGUGCUAUGAUGCUGUUUAGGACAGAUUGCAUGUUUUAGUUGUUUUGAAGCUUGUGUGAGUAUUGUUGGUGGUGUGGUGAGUUUAUUUGCACCACCCCACCUAUAUGUGUUUGUUUGAUCAUGUGGCAACCUGGGAACACCAGAAGAGUGCCAUUGGAGUGUGCUUGUGGAUGAUUUGACCCGUAGGACUCCAUAUCUUGUCUUGUAGUUUCCGGUUGAUCCGUAGCUCCGUUCUCAACGUUCUUUAUAUGUUUUUGCAUCGUUUUCUCGUGAUGCACCUGUUCAUGCCAUCUUCAUGCAUGUCAAGAUAUCUUAGUGUGAAGUUCUGUCCAGAAGUUUAUCUUCUCUUCCCAUGCACAUGCAAGUGACUAGAAUAGUGAUGCAUGCUUCAUUCUCAUCUCAUGCAUCAUGUUGUAUGUUGCAUCAUGUUGUGUUGGUGUUCAUUGGCUGUUAUUUUUAUCUUGGGUAGCACCGGGAUCGGAGAGCGAGUACGUGGAUUCUGGAGAGUACGUGUAGGAUGAUCAAGAGCAGUUCCAAGCUGAAGACAUCACAGGCAAGAUGACCGUGACCUUGAUACUGUAUCUAGCUUUGUUAUGCUUAGAAUCACGUUUCCUUCGAUAUGCUCGCUGCCUACCACUUGAUAAAUGCCUCCUGGUAAUGCCAUGAAACCCAAACACCUUCCCCUCCUAGCUAAUGUUGUUUUGCUAAGUAGGCUUGCUCAGCUUCUAAUGAUAGCUUUGCUAGUUGCAGGUGCCAGCUGUCUCAUGUGAUAACAUGAGUAUUUGAUAUCAUUAUGAUUAAACUAUUAUUUAAUUAAUGCACCUAUAUACUUGGUAAAUGACGGAAGGCCUAGCCUUUUGCCGGGUGAUUUGUUCCGUUAUUGCCGCCUGAGUUUCGGCUACCGGUGUUUGAUUCCAUAACCGAUCGCUCCUAACACGUUCGGGGUUGUUAUGGGGACCCUCUUGAUAAAUCGUAUAGUGUUAAGGCUUGUCCGACAAGACCCUACAUUGGUUUUAAUUUGCUAAUCACCUAAUAAUAAUUUGCAUAGGGAAUAGCUACCCCGAGGAUUUAAUCAACAACCCGGGCCAGUGCUCCUCAUGAGUGUUGGUCCCACCUGAGCGAUGUCCGGCCCCCCUGGUCACCCAGUGGUUUAGACAUCCUGACGUCUAGCUCAUCUGUCGUGUCCUGAGACUGAGAUACACGACUCUUAUCGGGGUCGUUGACACGACGGGAGGUUCUGCUAGUAUUGUCUUACCUUAGUGAUAUAUCUUGCGUAUAGGAAUCCCGGUGAAACUUUGGGUCUCCUCAAAGGUGAGGUUUUCCUCUAAGGAAUCCGACGAGAUCACGAGAUUCGUGAUAGAGGAUUACUUUGCGGCCCGUGACCGUUUGUGAUGGACUAGUUGGAUCACCCCUGUAGGGUUUAAUCUUUUGGAAAGUCGUGCCCGCCGUUAUGUGGCAACAUGGAUAAUUUGUUAACAUCCGGUUCUAGAUAACUUGAACUAACUCUAAUAAAACUGCCAACCGUGUGCGUAACCGUGACUGUCUCUUUCGAAGACCUCUCUUCGAUCGGGCACACGAUGGGGUUAUGUUUGACGUAAGUACGUGUUCAGGAUCACUUAGUGAUCACCUAGUCUUCGACCGCUCGCGUAGACCACCAUAUCUUAACACUGAUCAUCGUAAGUUAGCCACCAUAAAUUCUUAGGAUGCUGCAACCUAAACACUGAACCUUCCUCACCUAAUAACUUGACUAGCUUCGGUACCAAGGUCAUCCGAUUGCUCAGUCCUUGUGGCUCACAGUUUACUACAACUCGCCAACAGGUACAGGUACGCCCGAUGCAGGUGAUCCAGAUGGCACGCAGCUGGCGUGGCAGUACGCUAAGGAGAACGACCGCCUAUACGUGAACUAUCUAGAAGACUGAGGCCGUGGUCGUGAUUGUGGGCGAGCAUGCGAGAUAUCAUAGUCUUUUCCUUGUUUCUGUAGCCCGUAGAAGGAUUAUUUUGUCUGAAUAAUUGUGUGGAUGUAACUCUGAUAUUAUACUAUGUGAGGAUGGCAAAUGAAUGCCCUAUUUGUCAAUCUUAAUUUAUGUAUGUGCUAUGAUUA